This 253-nucleotide ribosomal RNA is filed under the name uncultured bacterium. RNAcentral describes it as "partial 16S ribosomal RNA". It matches the Rfam family "Bacterial small subunit ribosomal RNA", at positions 524 to 776 of the family's 1533-position model. The record is from RNAcentral.
UACAGAGGUCCCAAGCGUUGUUCGGAUUCAUUGGGCGUAAAGGGUGCGUAGGCGGCGAGGCAAGUCGGAUGUGAAAUCCCGGGGCUCAACCCUGGAACUGCAUUCGAUACUGCCUUGCUAGAGUACUGGAGAGGGAACUGGAAUUUACGGUGUAGCAGUGAAAUGCGUAGAUAUCGUAAGGAAGACCAGUGGCGAAGGCGAGUUCCUGGACAGUUACUGACGCUGAGGCACGAAGGCUAGGGGAGCAAACGGG